Molecule: transfer RNA, 557 nt
Filed under: Pinus pumila (dwarf Siberian pine)
Lineage: Eukaryota; Viridiplantae; Streptophyta; Pinopsida; Pinales; Pinaceae
Also listed under: 1 other name
Description: partial tRNA-Val
Source: RNAcentral
AGGGCUAUAGCUCAGCAAGGUAGAGCACCUCGUUUACACGUGCGCCAAUGGUUUUCGGGAGAGUUUAUCGAUUCGUCCGAUCCACGAAAUAGAUUCUAUGUGAAAUAGUCUUACUCUAUCCAUUUGUUUCUCUGGGGAACAAUAGCAUGACAAAGAUUAAGUUCGAUCUGAUUCGAAUUACGGAUCUAAUUGAUAUGGUCAAUCCCAGCUCCGUUCAAUGCCAGGCAUAAUGAGUAUAAUACGGGGACCUCAAAAUAGAUUCUUUUCGCUCUAUGAACUUUUAGGUGUAUGAAGUUCAUAUUUUACUUUUGGAGCGAUAGAAGAAAGAGACUCUAUUUGAGUCAAUCUAUGCCCGAGCAAGGCAGACCUACGUCAAAUAAACCUUUUGAAUAACUUUGGGAUUGCUUCCGAAGGGUAAUAAUUUGGAGCACACGGAGCCAUAUUAGUAUCUUCCGGGAAAGAGGAGAAUGGCAGACUAACCGAUCUUUCCAUCAGUUAAUGAAAGAGCCCAAUGCGAUAAAAUGCAUGUUGGGUUCUUGGAACAGUUCAAUUUAUUU